This is a long non-coding RNA of Callithrix jacchus (white-tufted-ear marmoset), 7152 nucleotides long. RefSeq lists it as uncharacterized. Lineage: Eukaryota; Metazoa; Chordata; Mammalia; Primates; Cebidae. The record is from RefSeq and is a predicted model, not a curated record.
UAAAUGAUGGUAGGGAAAAGUUUUUGGGUAGAUGGAUGGGGUGGUAGUGGGACAGUAGAGAAGGCUUUGUAAAAAGACAGUGGGAAAAAGUUUUGGGGUAGAUGAAAAAGGGAGAUGACAGGGAGGGAGCCAAAGGUGGUCACCUGUUGGGGGCCUGGUUGUCACUGGAGGGCUGGGGUCCCCCUUGGACCUGGUUUCAACUUGAGGCCUAGCGUUUAUUUGAAUUUUCAUAUACUCAUGAGACCUGGUGUCCUUGUGGGGCCUGAUACUCACCAGGGUCUUAGGUAUCUACCUGGAGGCCUUGUGUCCACCAUGGGCCUUCUCUUCACCAGGGACCUGGGAUUCUUGGCCUGCUGUUCACCUGAGACCUGGUGUCAUCCUGGGACCAAAUGUCCACCUGGGGCCUGAAGACUUCCCGGGGCCUGGAUAUCCACAUGGGGUCUAAUGUCUGGACAUCCACAUGAGGUCUAAUGUCUGGACAUCUAGGGUUUUGGUUUUCACUUGGGGCCUGGAUAUUCAUCUGGGGCCCGAUGUUCACCAGGGGACUGGAGUUCAUCUGGGGCCUGGUGUCCACCUCCAAUCUUAUAGCCAUAAGGGUUCUAGCUAUACCUCUGAGGCAUGUGUCUUCUUUUGAGACUGGGUGUUCAUGCACCUGCAGCCUAGUGUACACCUAGAGCCUAGUCAGUCUUCCUGGGGGUCUGGUGUCCACCUGGGGACUGGGUAGUCACUUGGAACCUUUUUUCUUCUUGGGGCCUUAGUGUCUACCUGGACCCUGAUGGUCAGCUGUAGACGGCUUUCUUCCUAGGGCCUGAUGUUCACUUUGAGAUUGGGUGUUCCCCUGAGGCCUGGGGAUCCUGCUGAAGCCUGAUGUCCACCUGGUGCCUGAUGUGUAUCUGGGGCCUGGAGUUUACUUGGGACAUGGUUGUCACUUUUGGUUUUGUUGUCAUCUGGUGCCCUGGUGUUCCUUGGGGCCAUGAUGUCUGCCUGGGGUAUAGUGUCCACCUGGGGACAAGGUAUUUACCUGGAUAUUGGUGUCCAUCUGAGGCCUAGUGUUCACUUGGGGACUGAGUGUUCACAUUGGACCUGGUGUCUUCCCGGAGCCUGUUGUUAACUUGGGACCUUGGUGUCCCCAGGAGCUUGACGUUUAUCUGGGACUUGGUAUCAAUUGGGGGCCUGAGUUCUCUUUGGGUCAUUGCUUUUACCUACGGACUGGGUAUGUACCUGGGACCUCUUCUCCAGCUGACACCUAAUAUCUACCUGGGACCCUGGGAUCUGAUGUUUACCUUGGGCCUGCCGUGUCAGAGGCCUGAUGUCUCCCUUGAGCCUGGAUGUCCACCUGGGGCAUUGGUAUAUCUUUCUCGGGCCUGGCGUCCACAUGUGGCAUUGUGUCCAAAUGUGGCCUGGGUGUGAACCUGGAGCCAGGUGUACACCUUUGGUUUUGUGUCCACCUUGGACCUGAGGGUCACCUGGGGCCUGGGUUUCAACCUCGGGCCUUAUGUUUACCUGGGGACUGGUGUCCCCUUGGGCCUGGUGUUGACCCAAUGAUGUCCACAUAGGUGCUGGGUAUUCACCUGGAGCCUCGUGUCCACCUGGGGCCUGAUGUUACCCAGCAUAGGCAUUGCUCAGAAUACACACAGAUUGGAAAGGAGGAAGGAAUGAAAACAUGGGACCUGUGUAUGCAGUAUAAGAAAAGUGAAAACAACCAUUCAUCCAUUGGUGGUUACUUGGUUACUUCCGCUUUCCAGCCAUUGUGAAUACCAUUGCUAUUAACAUGGAGAUACAGGUAUUCUGAGACUCUGCUCUUAACACUUAAGGAUAGAUUCCCAGAUGUAGAACUGCUAGAUUAUGUGUUGAUUCUAUGCUGAGUUUUUUGAGAAAUUGCCAUAUUGUUUUCCACAGUGACUGCGCUGUUUUAUAUUUCUACCUACAGGGUGCAAAUGUUCCAAAUUCUCCACAUCUUCAUCAGCACCUGUUAUUUCUUAUCUUCUAGAUUAUCCAUCAGGGGACUGAUGUCUAGAUAGAGUGUGACAGUCACCUGAGGCCUUGUAUCCUCUUGAGGUGUGUCUGUGAGCUUGGUGACUGAAGUCUGCUUAGAGUCCACUGUCUACCUGGGGACUAAUGUCCACCUGGGGCUCAAUGAAAACCUAGGAGCUGAUAUUUACCUAGGGCCUGUCCACCUGGGGCUUGAUUUCAGCUGGGGCCUGAAGUUCUCCUAGCACCUGGUGUCCACCUGAGGCCUGGGUGUCAACCUGGGACCAGAUAUCCUGCUGGAGCCUUAGUGUUCCUGGUGCCUGAGGCCCAGGUGUCCUUGGGACUGGAUGUUCACCCAGGGCCUGCAAUCCCUUUGUCAUAAAGUGCACAACUGAGGUGCUAUGUUCACCUGGGACUUGGGUGCCCAUCAAGGGCCUGAUUUUGACCUGGGACCUGGGUAUUUAUUUACCUGAGGCCUCAGUGACCACUUGGGGCCUGACAUCCACUUGGGUUUUAGUGUCCACCUGGGUCCAGAUGUCCACUGGGUUCCUAGGUAUCCUGCUGAGGCCUGGUUUGUGCUUGGGGCCAGGUUUCUAUCUGGGGUGUGGGUAUGUACCUGGUUGCUUUUGUUGACAGUGCUCCUAGGUAUUCACUUGGGGCCUGGGGCCUAUGACCUCCUUGGACAUGUUGUUUCUCUGGGCCUUGUGUCCACCUGUGCCUUGGGUGUCAGCCUGGUGCUUGAUAACCACCUGUGGGCUCCAUAGAUACCUGGAGCCUGAUGGUCCCUUGAAGCCUGGUGUUUUGGGUUCUGAUGUCAACCUGGAGUGUAGGUAUCCAUCUGGGUCCUAAAUGUCCACCUGGGGCCACAUGUCCACCUCUGGUCUGGGUGUCGUCAUGGGGCCUGAUACUCACCAGGAGCCUAGGCAUUUAUGUGGUGCAUGCCGUCCCAUGAGGAUUGAUAUUCAGAUGGGGACUGGGUAUCCACCUUGGGCCUAUGGUACUGCUUGGGCCUGAGUGUUUACCUGGAGACUGAUACCCAUCCUGUGCCUGCUGCCUACGUAGGGCCUCAUGUUUCCAUUGAGCCUGGAUGUCCACCCGAGUCUUUGGUAUCUUCAGCAGGACGGCUGUCCUUCUCUGACUUUGGGUCCAGUGGCAGCCUGUGUGUGAGCCUGAUAGUUCAUGUACACCUUGAAUCCAUGCCCACCUGAGCCUUUAUGUCCACUUGGGGCCUGAUGUCUACAUGGGGACUGGGCAUUUACCUGAGGCCUAAUGUCCAUCUGGAACCAGAUGUUCCCCUGGGGCCAGGGUAUCCUCCUGGGGCCUAAUGUUCACCAGGGGUCUAGGCAUGUAGUUGAGGCCUGUUGUCCACCUGGGGUUUCCUGUUCACUGUGGGCCCAGACAUUCACUUGGAGCUUGGAGUUCAAGUGUGGGCUGGAGUUCCACUGGGACCUAUGUGUCCACCUGGGACCUGACAUACACCAAGAUGCCUGAUGUCCAUUUGGGACCUGGUUUCUCCCUGGGGCCUGGUAUGUACCUGGGGCCUGAUAUUUACCUGUGGCCCAGUGUCCACUUGGGGCCUAUGUGCCAAACUGUGACCUGAUGUCUACCUGGGGCCUGAUGUCCAUGCAGGGACUGGAGUCCCCCUGGGAUCUGGUGUCCACCUGGGGCCUGGUGUCUACCUGGUGUGUGAUGUUUAGUGUCUGCUUAUGGACUGAUGUUUCCUGGGACCUCAGUGCCCACUAGGGCCUGAAAAGGGUGUGUCAGUUUGCACUCACCCUCUUCCUGGGGAAAAUGGGUGGGGAGUUACCCUGGCCUUGCCCCUGUUCAUCCAGGAACUUGUCCUCCCACGCAAGCAGUGAGGAAGGCGGUACCUGGGUAAGUCGCCCCUGCUUCUAUGCUCAUUGAGUGAAGAUCUCAUGCGGGUGCUGGACUUGGGGCCCCAGAGCCAUGCCCUGCUACACUGCCUGCGAUAAUGGACUGGAUCCCGAGAGGGAGAGCACCACCCUUCCCUCUGCCGGGAGCCUGUUUGAGCAUGCAGGGCAGCUCCUCAAGGGCGCCAGGAACCCAGGCCACUCAGGUUAUCGGUGGCCACACACCAGAGCUGAGGGAGGGGGCCAGGCUGAGGUCACUGGACCGACAAGAAAGUCAUAGAGCCAGCCAGUGGCACCCAGGGACUGCAGGAGGCUUCUCCAAGGUAAGCUUCAGACCUGCAUUGGUUUCUGUGUCUUUGUCCAGUGGUGAAUUUCUGCAAGGCGGGUAGGACACGUUCAGGGCUGCCUCAGCAAUUUGUAGGCUUUUAAACCGUCUAGGAGAGACCCAUAGUUGAAACCUAGAGAGGGCUUGAUUCGGCCUGCCAUUCAUUUUACACAGUGGUCUUUAAGUUUCUUGGGAAACCGGGCCUGGGUUAGUUAUUUCUCCGUGUCACCCUUUCUUUCUUGGAUUUCUUGGUAUGCACAGUUGCCUUUUACUCUUUUCCGACAUAAGAACCUCAGGUCCACAUUUCCAUUCUUCCCUUCUGAUCCAUGUGUCCUCCAUGCAAAGCCCGUGGUGGGUCUUGCUCUGGGACUAGUGGAGCAGCCUUGCACUUGUGUUGGGUGUGGGAGUUUCAUGGUGGUUUCCUUCUGUAUGUAUUUGGCCUUCUAUUAUGAGUUCCUUGACUUGAGAAUGAUUGCAAAGUGUGCUUUUCAGUUUCCCAAAUACAUGUAUUUUGGAGACAUGAGUGUAUUGCAUUUGGCCAGAGAAUAUGUGACCUUUCCGUUGUUCGGGACUGGUGUGUACACCUGGGGGCCCAAUAUCCACCUGGGGGUUGGGUGUCCAUGUGGAACCUGAUGUACCUCUGGACCUGGUUGACAACAUGGGUCCUGGUGUGCACCUGGAGCCUGAUGUUCCCUAAGGGCCUGGUUAUCCACUUGGGUCCUGCUGUUCAUCUAGGACCCCAUGUUCGCCCAGGGCCUGAGAGUCACCUGGGGACUGGUUGUGUACCUGGGGCCUCACAUCCACCUGUGGUGUAGGUAUCUAUGUGGCCUCAGGUCUGCUCACCCUUGGAGCAGUGCAGUAGCCGCUCUGCACCCUGGCUUUGGCGAGGCUGCACCCCAGGUGUUAACAGCCACACAGGGUAGAUGAGCACCCCAGCUUCCAGGUGUAAGUCACUCCCCAUGGGCCCUAACCUCUUGCAGGAACUGUGAGGGCCAGGCUGGGAAUGAGCUGGCUGGGCUGCCAUAUUGGCAGAGGCCUAGUGGGGUGAGGUUUUGUCAGCGUCGGGGGUCUCUCAGAGGUCUCAGGUCGGAGCUUGCUGGGGUCAUGCUACUGUCGGGGGGUCAGGCCUGGCUGGAGAACCUGGUCACAGGGCUAUGCCCAGAGCAUGGCUGAGCCGGGGUUUGCACACCUUGGGGGGGGCCAGCCCACCUUGGGCAGCGCUGGGAGCAGGUCCCCGAGGGGCAGACAAAGGCGUGACCUGGUCAAGGCUGUUCUCGUUUCAUCCCUCUUCUCCCAACCAUGCAACACAUGCCUUGAGGACCCAGAGGCUGGCAGUGCUGAUCCCCAAGAGGGGGGAUGUGGGGCAGGGCUAUGGGGCCGGGAGAGGGCUCUGGGGGCCCCAGGGAAGGACCUGCCAAUCCUGAGGGACAGACUCAGACCAGGGGCAGGCUCACAGCAGGGCUCUCCUGGAAACUUCUGGCGGAGCGGCAGGCCGACGUCACUGUGGUUCCCAGUUGCUGAGGACACCAGGGUCAGAAUGAAAGGCUCACCCACUGAGGCUGCCCAGCCAGGGCUGUUGGGAGCCAGUCCCUGCCAGGUCUUGGCGGCGUUGGGAGCCUGGCUCUCGCUUCCUCUACCCUUGCCCUAGUCCAGGCAUUACCGUGGCUGCAGCUGGUCGUGGCCCAUCCACCCCUGCCCUGAGUCUGCAGCCCGGUCUGUCCUGGUCCUUGGAGCUGCAGGCCCAGCUUCACUUGGUGCAGCCUCCUGCAGGGACCGCUGAACCCACCAGAUGGCGAUAGAGGCCCACCGUGUCAACGGAGACCUGUGCAUGGGGCUGAGCCUCCAAAUCCUCUUCCAGGAGUCCAGCCAAUUAUCUCGAGUCGCCAUGACAUGGAUCUUGACAGGAGCUGUAGGAAAGCCGGGGAGGCUGUGCUGGCCUUCAAUAAGUCUCUAAGGCGCUGACUCCUGCCACUGCCAGGCUCAGGCCCACCUGCCUUCCCAGCUCCUUGUUGGUGUUACUGCCUUUAUCAGAGUGAAGGGAAGGAGGGUCAUGAUCCCAUCCCAAGAGAGGGGAACGCUGGCUAUCCCUACCCUGCCCUCCUGUCCACCCCAACCUGUCUGGGAACGCCCCUCAGAUUUGGCAUCAGGCCGCAGUCCAGUCACCCAGGCUGCUUCCUGCCCCAGGAAAACUUCACUGACCCCACCUAUGUCCACCAGGGUCUGGGGGCAUUCUGGGGGUGUUGUGCCGCUUGGUGGCCAUGCUGGGCUGGAGACUGGACACCCACAUCUCAUCUCGGGGAGCUUCAGGAGCCUCUUUGCACAUUUCACAGGGUUGGAGGGGUUUGUCCUAGUUUGAGACAGGGCCUUGCUCUGUCCUGCAGCCUCAAACUGCUGGACUCAAGCAGUCCUGCCUCAGCCUCCUGAGUACUGCAGGCACAUCUGCUACUAUGCCCAGCAAAUUGUUUAUUUCUUGUAGAGAUGGAGUCUUCCUGUGCUGCCCAGGCUGGUCUUGAACUCCUUGCCUCAAGUGAUCCUCCUACCUUGGCCUCACAAAGUGCUGGGAUUACAGACGACUUGGAGUGUAUUAUAGGGUCCAGCCCUACAGAGUUCUGUGAACCGCUCCCAACUGGUGUGGAGACAAGAAAUUGUAGAAACAAAAGACACAAGACACAGAGAUAGAGAAAAGAGAGUUUGGGCCCAGGGGUCCACUACCAACCAGAGGGCAGAGUCAGCAGUGGCCCCAAAUGCCUGGAUGCUCUCACUUUUAUUGAGUUGGAAAUCUGGGGCACGGUAGGUAGGGCAUAGCCUUGGAGGUUGGCGACUGGGGGCAGGGUAGAUAGGGCGUAGCAGUGAUACGGUCAAGUACAUCACGUGUCAUUCAGGUAGGGGCUCAGGAAUUUCUGGUAGCCUAAUUGAGUUAAGGAGCAUAAUGCGUCAGCACCUUUUCCAUACUUAUUAAGAAAGAACAAAAACAUUAAGAUUUAC